UAGUCCACGCCGUAAACGAUGAGUACUAGUUAUUGGAGGUAUUGACUCCUUCAGUGACGUAGCUAACGCGUUAAGUACUCCGCCUGGGAAGUACGGUCGCAAGACUAAAACUCAAAGGAAUUGACGGGGCCCGCACAAGCGGUGGAUUAUGUGGUUUAAUUCGAAGCAACGCGCAAAAACCUUACCUAGGCUUGAACUCCUGAGAAUCUCGAGUAAUUUGAGAGUGUCCGCAAGGAAAUUCAGUGAGAGGUGCUGCAUGGCUGUCGUCAGCUCGUGUUGUGAAAUGUUGGGUUAAGUCCCGCAACGAGCGCAACCCUUGUCCUUAGUUGCCAGCACGUAAUGGUGGGAACUCUAGGGAGACUGCCGGUGACAAACCGGGAGGAAGGUGGGGACGACGUCAAGUCAUCAUGGGCCUUUAUAUCCCGGGGCUACACACACGCUACAAUGGGUCAGGGACAAUAGGUUGCCAAGCCGCGAGGGUGGAGCUAAUCCUCUAAACUUGAUCUCAGUUC
Molecule: ribosomal RNA, 512 nt
Filed under: uncultured bacterium
Lineage: Bacteria
Description: bacterial SSU rRNA
Rfam family: Bacterial small subunit ribosomal RNA
Source: RNAcentral